GGUGUGAGUUGCAGCCAGGGAUGACUUGCCGAGUUUGCCAAACUCCGCCUUCAUUUGCUUGCUGAGCUGUGUAGACGUUUCGGCAAGUUGUCUCUGGCUACAUUUGGCUCUCU
RNAcentral lists this microRNA precursor (113 nucleotides) under Ipomoea nil (Japanese morning glory). Lineage: Eukaryota; Viridiplantae; Streptophyta; Magnoliopsida; Solanales; Convolvulaceae. The record is from RNAcentral.